UGACCUCAAAUCAGGUAGGAUUACCCGCUGAACUUAAGCAUAUCAAUAAGCGGAGGAAAAGAA
This 63-nucleotide ribosomal RNA is filed under the name Phellinus tuberculosus. RNAcentral describes it as "partial 28S ribosomal RNA". It matches the Rfam family "Eukaryotic large subunit ribosomal RNA", at positions 1 to 63 of the family's 3401-position model. The record is from RNAcentral. Lineage: Eukaryota; Fungi; Basidiomycota; Agaricomycetes; Hymenochaetales; Hymenochaetaceae.